RNAcentral lists this ribosomal RNA (520 nucleotides) under uncultured Glomus. RNAcentral describes it as "SSU rRNA". It matches the Rfam family "Eukaryotic small subunit ribosomal RNA", at positions 569 to 1092 of the family's 1831-position model. The record is from RNAcentral. Lineage: Eukaryota; Fungi; Glomeromycota; Glomeromycetes; Glomerales; Glomeraceae.
AGCAGCCGCGGUAAUUCCAGCUCCAAUAGCGUAUAUUAAAGUUGUUGCAGUUAAAAAGCUCGUAGUUGAAUUUCGGGGUUAGCAGGUCGGUCGUGCCACUGGUAUGAACUGGUUUUACUGAUUCCUCCCUCUUGAAGAACUGUAAUGCCAUUAAUUUGGUGUUGCAGGGAAUCAGGACUGUUACUUUGAAAAAUUAGAGUGUUUAAAGCAGGCUUUAGCUUGAAUACAUUAGCAUGGAAUAAUGAAAUAGGACGUUUGAUCCUAUUUUGUUGGUUUCUAGGAUUGACGUAAUGAUCAAUAGGGGUAUUGGGGGCAUUAGUAUUCAAUUGUCAGAGGUGAAAUUCUUGGAUUUAUUGAAGACUAACUACUGCGAAAGCAUUUGCCAAGGAUGUUUUCAUUAAUCAAGAACGAAAGUUAGGGGAUCGAAGACGAUCAGAUACCGUCGUAGUCUUAACCAUAGACUAUGCCGACUAGGGAUCGGAUGAUGUUAAUUUUUAAUGUACUCAUUCGGCGCCUUAAC